Salvia hispanica is the source of this 4140-nucleotide non-coding RNA. The record is from RefSeq and is a predicted model, not a curated record. NCBI's taxonomy places the organism in Eukaryota, Viridiplantae, Streptophyta, Magnoliopsida, Lamiales, Lamiaceae.
ACUUGUCUUCUCCAUUCAGCAAAUUCUUUUGUUUUUAUUUGUUACUCUCAUGAUGGAUUUGUCUGUCUGUUGAGAUAAAUUUAUGCGUUGAGUCUAAAUCUAUGAAGACUUCUUUGUAUUUCCAUUUUUAUAAUCAGUUUUGUUUUUCAAUUUUCUAUAUUGUUGGCACUUGGCAGAUGAUUAAUUAUCACUUUUGUUCUUUUGUUCUUCUGAGAUUAGUUCCCGAUUAAUUCCCUUCCAAUCAAUGGAGACUUGGAUUUCAAUUUUUUUUUUGGUUAUUUAUAGUACGCUCUCGGUUCUUGAAAUAUAGUCCCAUUUUGAUAAAUGGAUUCACUUUCUAGUAAUAUUAUAAAAUUAAUAUAAAUGUGAUAUUUUUUUCAAUCCAUUUUUUUUUCACAUAUCAUAAAAUUCGUGCGGACAAUCUUUCAUAGAUGAUGUAUUAUUUAUAAUCGCUAUUCAGAAAAUAACGCCUUUUUUUCACCAGGCCCAAAUGUGUCGGCCCAUCUAACGUUAAAUUCAGAAUGUUACUAUAGUCUACGAAUACACACGCCCUUUUUUAGAGUUUAUCAUUCCUUUCUUAUUUUAUUAAUCCUAAUUUUUUUAAUUCCAGCUGUAAAUAUUUUCGCGCGGAAAUGUUAUGUUCAAUUCUGCAAUUUGUGAUCGGAGGCCUUGUCUCUAUAAAUAGAAGCGAAUCUUCUUCGCACAGAAAUAGGCGCUGAGUUCACUCUCAUCAGCGCUCUCAAUGGAGCUCCUCAAUAUACUGCUAAAUUGUAUACUUGCUGCAGACUCAUACCUAAUAGAGGUAGAGGAAGAGGAGGAAGAGGAGGUGGUGAAGACUUAAAAACUAUGCUGUACGAAAUCGUGAGUGAUGACUUUUAUGCGGCUCAUCUUGAAGCUCAUAACGGCGAUCGAGUGUUUUUCCGUGCUGCUGCUGCCGCCAGACAAGUUCACUUCCGUUUUCUACCUGCGGAGGAGGAGAAUGCUCCGCCGCCGCCGAUCAUAUAGAUUCUCUAAUUUCUACUCUUCAUUCUCUAAUUUCUUAAUUCGUUCAAUUUCCACUGAUUCUGUUGCUAAUGAAGCAUUUAUUCUGCCGAUCCGCUUACUUUUUCCAUUGCUGUUCACUCUGCUGUUACCUUCACAUGCUGUUGCUGAUGUUCAUACAGCUAAUCUGCUGCUGGUAAUUCCUCUGUUCAUAUCCAACAUUUUGUACCUGAUGAUCUUCAUGCUCUGUACUUGCAUCGAUUAUUUUGCUCUGCCGAGAGAUUGAAAACUGUAGUCAUAUACUUCAUCUCUCUCUAGUCUUCAUAAUUGCAAUUUCACUUGCUAUUGUCUGCUCAUUUCAGAUAUUGAUAACUAAUUCUGUCUACUUUAACAAAUUUUUUUAAUGUUUUCAUCAUUUCUCAUGUUAAAAUCUGUGAUGAAUUCUAUUCCUUAUGUUUGAGGUGGUUAUUAAUGCUUUAGUUGUUAAUAGGUAUCAGAAUUUUAAGUCAUUUCCAAUCUGUUGAACUUGUGUUAUGUUCCAAUUUAGACAAAUAUUAGUAUUUCACAUACUCUCUACAAAAUUAGAUUUGUCAAACUUUUAAUAUUUAGUUUUACUCUUUAUUCUCAUAUCUGCCUUGCUUAGUUAUAUUGUUCAUUAGGUUAGUUGUAUACAUUUUGCUAAUUUUGUGGGCUAAUAUUUUGUUUUCUUGGUGUGUUUGUAUAUCUGUUCAUUUUCUCGAUUAGAUUAUGUGUAAAAAUAUAUUGGUAUGGUUUAGUAUAUUUGAAAAAUUAGCUGGGUAUUGUUUUAGUUUAAUACUAGCACGGAUUGAAAUUCUAGUUACAAUGUUGUCUUCUUGGUGUGUUUGUAACUUCUAAUGUGGUUCAUUGUUAAUUUUUUGUAUGUGGCAUAAGAUUUAUUUGUCUUAGAAAAUUGUUUUAGAACACUGAAAAGGUUUAGAUGCUUGAAUUGUACUUAGCACAACAUUGAAAAUUUCAAAGUUACCUGCUACAGGAUUGUGAAUUCUAUAGCUUUAUUCUCACAAUAGAAGAAAAUAGAUUUAAAAAUAUUCUUCUGUAUUUCUAUUAAUUUCUUUUAAUUUGCCUGAUAUUGUUUUUAAAACCUGAUUAUAAAAUUCGCAAUUUGUAUAUUUUUGUUUGUCGUCUGACUUGUAAUAUUUUGGUUGGUGUAUGUGCAAAUUUGCUUAUACUAAUUUUUCGUUUAAUAUAGGAAUUAAGAUUUUUUGUUACAAAUAUAUUGUACUACGUUUUAAGCGUUAUGAACUGGGCACAGUUUAUUGAACUACUAGUAGUACUACGUUUUUAGUUUAUGGAAUUAGUUUUGUUUUUUAAGAAAAUUAUUGAAAUUUUUUAAAUUAUCACAAUAAAAUAUUGAUUUUAGAAUGUUAUUCCUUAUUGAUUUUAUUUUUAUUAGUGUGGUUAUAUUCUCUCAACUUGAUUACUUUAUUGUAAUACCGCAAUUUUAUUACUAUUACUAUUAUGUAUAUGCCUAAUAUGAUGCAAGUAUGUUAGUGCAUAUACGCAUUUGUUUUUUCAUUAUUAGGUGCAUGCCACCAUCAACGCAUUUGUUUUUUUGAAAAGGAUAUUAGUAAUUCUAGGCCACAUACGCAUUUUUUGUGUUAAACUUUUAUUAUUAUUUAGCUUAAUUUUAUUGUUCAUGUGUUUUUGGUUGAUAUUUUGCAUUGAUUGUAUAUUUUUUGCUAAUUUUGUUAGUGUAUAAUUGUCUUCUUGGUGUGUUUGUAUAUAUGUUCAUUUUCUGGUUUAGAUUAUUUUAAAAUUUAGCUAGGUGUGGUUUAUAAUGGUCUGAAAUAGUACGCCAUGUUGUCUUCUUUGUGUGUUUGUAUAUCUGUUAAUUUUUAAUGUGGUUCAUUGAUAAAUUUUGCUACUAUUUUUUUUGUUUGUGGUAUUGGAUUUUUUUGUCUAACUAAAUAAUUGUUUUAUAAUGCUGAAAAUUUGCUGAAAAGUUUUUGAUGCUCGAAUAUUGUUAUGUUUUUGUUUCUUGUCUGUCUUGUACUAAUAUUUUAGUUGGUGUUUAUGCAUAUUUGGUUAUCGAUUUUUGUUUAAUAAGUACUAUAAUGAUUUGUUCGAUUUGUUAUAAAACUUGGCACAUUUGCAUUGAACUACUAGUAUGCAUUUAGCUUGUGCAAUUAGUUUUAUUUUUUUAGGAAAACAGUUGAUAUAUAAUGCUGAAAAAGUUAUUCAAAAAUUUUAGGUGUUCAAUUUAUAUCGUUCGUAGAAUUAUGUUUAUCAAUUGUGAAUCCACCCACUUUAUUAAUUUUAUUUUUAUUAGUAUGUUUAUAUUCUUAGAACUUGAUAAAAAAAAUUUCAUAGUGCAAUUUUAUUCUUGUAUGCAUGAAGUAAAUAUUUUAUUCCAUAAAUUGUGAAGUACUAUUAUGUUUGUAUAGAUUGAUUAAUUUAAUAUUUAAAAAGAAAUUACGGAAUUAUUUUGAAAUUUGUUUUAAGAAAUCCUGACCCUUUUGGCCAUAUACACAUUUUGUUAUGAUUAUUGACAUUAGUGCCUAUUGGAUUCUACAUUAGUAACUUUAUUCAUAAUAAAUUGAUGCAUAUUCAUUUUAAAUCAGAAUUAAUUUUGAAAACUUUUACCUUGUACAGAAUCGUGAAUACUAUAGAUUUAUUUUCACAAUAAAAGAAAUUAGGUUUAAGAAUAUUCUUCCGUAUUAUUAAUUUCUUUUAAUUUGUAUGUUUUUGUUUUGUAACAUGAUAAAAUUGGCUAAUUUGUAUGUCAAUUCGCAAUUUGUAUGCUUGUAUGUUUUUGUUUGUCGUCCGUCUUGUGUAGAAGUAAUAUUUUAGUUGGUGGCAUUUUGGGCAUAUUUGGUUAUAGAUUUUUGUUUAAUGUACAUAUUAUGGUUUUUUUUUGUUAUUUUUGUUAUGAAUAUACUGUAGUACUAGGUUAUACGGAGUAUUUAUCAAGCGUUAUAAAGAUAGUCACAUUUGUAUUGAACUUCUAGAAUGUUUAUACUUUGCUGAUAAAUUAUUGAAAAAUUUAAUGCUCAAAUUGUAUCAUUUGUUGGAAAUUCUAUAAACUUACCUUCUUCAAAAUUUUGAAUUCAUCCGCUUUAUUAUCACAACAAGAAAUUGAUUUGAGAAUGUUCGUCCUUAUUAAUUUUAUUUUUAGUACUC